GUUUUUUAUAAAAAAAUAUUAAGAAUAAAGUCUUAAUUUAAUCUUAAUCAAACUCUAAUGUAACCUUUAAAAAAUUGUAAUAAAAUCCUAAACCAUUCCUAAUCAAAUCCUAAAUAAAUCUUAAUCAAAUUCUAAAUCAAUUCUAAUUAAAUCCUAAACCAAAUCCUAAUCAAAUCUUAAUCAAAUUUUAAUCAAAUUUUAAUAUAAAUCCUAAUCAACACG
RNAcentral lists this long non-coding RNA (222 nucleotides) under Physcomitrium patens. Its description in RNAcentral is "long non-coding RNA (PPAT_LNC009210)". The record is from RNAcentral. Lineage: Eukaryota; Viridiplantae; Streptophyta; Bryopsida; Funariales; Funariaceae.